AACAACACAUGGAAAUACCUGAACCACAGAUCUGACAGUACCCUGAACAUUUUUACCUGAAAAAUCAGGCAUCUUGACAUGACACCUUAAGAAGCAUCAUGUUCUGCUAUGUGAGAAAGUGGAUAACAACACAAGAAUACCAGAUGUUGAUUGCUUGUUGCAGUUAAAUCAUUUGCAUGUACAAGUACAUCAGCAGUCCUCAUUACCAGGCAGAGAAAUGAUGAAUAUUCAUUGAAAUCAACUUGAAACUGCAAAACUCAGGAAAACUGCUAAACUGACACCAAGUCCAGAGCAACUUCAGAGAGGCAUAUAUAUCUUUCAGCGGGGCCAAGGGUGGUGGGUGGCGCGUAGGUUCCACGGCAGCCGAUCGCCUAUGAUAGGCGAUCGCUUCCGCUUGGAUAAUCCCAACUGUCUUAAUGCGCGAAAUGCUGCCGAAAUUU
RNAcentral lists this long non-coding RNA (440 nucleotides) under Anneissia japonica. RNAcentral's name for it is "uncharacterized LOC117121584". Lineage: Eukaryota; Metazoa; Echinodermata; Crinoidea; Comatulida; Comatulidae. The record is from RNAcentral.